This 496-nucleotide ribosomal RNA is filed under the name uncultured bacterium. Its description in RNAcentral is "bacterial SSU rRNA". It matches the Rfam family "Bacterial small subunit ribosomal RNA", at positions 30 to 530 of the family's 1533-position model. The record is from RNAcentral.
AUUGAACGCUGGCGGCAGGCCUAACACAUGCAAGUCGAGCGGGGUUUUCGGACCUAGCGGCGGACGGGUGAGUAAUGCGUAGGAAGCUACCCGAUAGAGGGGGAUACCAGUUGGAAACGACUGUUAAUACCGCAUAAUGUCUACGGACCAAAGUGUGGGACCUUCGGGCCACAUGCUAUCGGAUGCGCCUACGUGGGAUUAGCUAGUUGGUGGGGUAAUGGCUCACCAAGGCGACGAUCCCUAGCUGGUUUGAGAGGAUGAUCAGUCACACUGGAACUGAGACACGGUCCAGACUCCUACGGGAGGCAGCAGUGGGGAAUAUUGGACAAUGGGCGAAAGCCUGAUCCAGCCAUGCCGCGUGUGUGAAGAAGGUCUUCGGAUUGUAAAGCACUUUAAGUUGGGAGGAAGGGCAGUAAGUUAAUACCUUGCUGUUUUGUACGUUACCAACAGAAUAAGCACCGGCUAACUUCGUGCCAGCAGCCGCGGUAAUGUGACU